Molecule: non-coding RNA, 80 nt
Organism: Pangasius djambal
Lineage: Eukaryota; Metazoa; Chordata; Actinopteri; Siluriformes; Pangasiidae
Source: the annotation of a GenBank genome assembly
UCCCUGGAAGACUAGUGGUUAGGCCUGUUACUCACAGCGCUCUCACCACUGCGGCCUGGGUUCGAUUCCUGGCCAGGGAA